UCCCCUGUAGUUCAGUCGGUAGAACGGCGGACUGUUAAUCCGUAUGUCACUGGUCGGCGGACUGUUAAUCCGUAUGUCACUGGUUCAAGUCCAGUCAGGGGAGCCA
Molecule: transfer RNA, 106 nt
Filed under: Shewanella sp. K8
Lineage: Bacteria; Pseudomonadati; Pseudomonadota; Gammaproteobacteria; Alteromonadales; Shewanellaceae
Description: tRNA-OTHER
Rfam family: tRNA
About the family: Transfer RNA (tRNA) molecules are approximately 80 nucleotides in length. Their secondary structure includes four short double-helical elements and three loops (D, anti-codon, and T loops).
Source: RNAcentral